ACGAACGCUGGCGGCGUGCUUAACACAUGCAAGUCGAACGAGAAAGUCCUUCGGGAUGAGUAGAGUGGCGCACGGGUGAGUAAAGAAUAGGAACAUACCUAUGGGUGAGGAAUAACUGCGGGAAACUGCGGCUAAUACCACAUAAGAUCUUCGGAAGAAAGAGGGCCUAUGCUUGCAAGCUCUCGCCGAUAGAGUGGCCUAUUUCCCAUUAGCUAGUUGGUAGGGUAAGAGCCUACCAAGGCGACGAUGGGUAGCUGGUCUGAGAGGAUGAUCAGCCACACUGGAACUGAGACACGGUCCAGACUCCUACGGGAGGCAGCAGUGGGGAAUCUUGCACAAUGGGGGCAACCCUGAUGCAGCAACGCCGCGUGAGUGAAGAAGGCCCUUGGGUCGUAAAGCUCUUUCGGCUAGGAAGAAGGGGUUCCUGGAGAAACACAGGAGCUUUGACGGUACUAGAAGAAGAAGCACUGGCUAAUUCCGU
This 481-nucleotide ribosomal RNA is filed under the name uncultured bacterium. Its description in RNAcentral is "bacterial SSU rRNA". It matches the Rfam family "Bacterial small subunit ribosomal RNA", at positions 29 to 506 of the family's 1533-position model. The record is from RNAcentral.